CAAUAGCGUAUAUUAAAGUUGUUGCGGUUAAAAAGCUCGUAGUUGGAUUUCUGCUGAGAACGACCGGUCCGCCCUUUGGGUGUGUAUCUGGCUCUUUCUUGGCAUCUUCUUGGUGAACGUUGCUGCACUUGACUGUGUGGAGCGCUACCCAGGACUUUUACUUUGAGGAAAUUAGAGUGUUUCAAGCAGGCAUACGCCUUGAAUACAUUAGCAUGGAAUAAUAAGAUAGGACCUCGGUUCUAUUUUGUUGGUUUCUAGAGCUGAGGUAAUGAUUAAUAGGGAUAGUUGGGGGCAUUCGUAUUUAACUGUCAGAGGUGAACUUCUUGGAUUUGUUAAAGACGGACUACUGCGAAAGCAUUUGCCAAGGAUGUUUUCAUUGA
RNAcentral lists this ribosomal RNA (380 nucleotides) under uncultured eukaryote. RNAcentral's name for it is "partial 18S ribosomal RNA". It matches the Rfam family "Eukaryotic small subunit ribosomal RNA", at positions 592 to 976 of the family's 1831-position model. The record is from RNAcentral.